GACGAACGCUGGCGGAGUGCCUAAUACAUGCAAGUCGAACGCUUCUUUCCUCCCGAGUGCUUGCACUCAAUUGGAAAGAGGAGUGGCGGACGGGUGAGUAACACGUGGGUAACCUACCCAUCAGAGGGGGAUAACACUUGGAAACAGGUGCUAAUACCGCAUAACAGUUUAUGCCGCAUGGCAUAAGAGUGAAAGGCGCUUUCGGGUGUCGCUGAUGGAUGGACCCGCGGUGCAUUAGCUAGUUGGUGAGGUAACGGCUCACCAAGGCCACGAUGCAUAGCCGACCUGAGAGGGUGAUCGGCCACACUGGGACUGAGACACGGCCCAGACUCCUACGGGAGGCAGCAGUAGGGAAUCUUCGGCAAUGGACGAAAGUCUGACCGAGCAACGCCGCGUGAGUGAAGAAGGUUUUCGGAUCGUAAAACUCUGUUGUUAGAGAAGAAUAAGGACGUUAGUAACUGAACGUCCCCUGACGGUAUCUAACCAGAAAGCCACGGCUAACUACGUG
Molecule: ribosomal RNA, 508 nt
Filed under: uncultured bacterium
Lineage: Bacteria
Description: partial 16S ribosomal RNA
Rfam family: Bacterial small subunit ribosomal RNA
Source: RNAcentral